RNAcentral lists this ribosomal RNA (597 nucleotides) under Mystacina tuberculata (New Zealand lesser short-tailed bat). Its description in RNAcentral is "partial 12S ribosomal RNA". It matches the Rfam family "Bacterial small subunit ribosomal RNA", at positions 284 to 947 of the family's 1533-position model. The record is from RNAcentral. Lineage: Eukaryota; Metazoa; Chordata; Mammalia; Chiroptera; Mystacinidae.
UAGAUGAGUCGUAUGACUCCAUAAACACAUAGGUUUGGUCCCAGCCUUUCUAUUAGUUGUUAAUAAAAUUACACAUGCAAAUAUCCGUAGUCCAGUGAGAAUGCCCUCCAAGUCAUCCCAGAUGAUAAAAAGGAGCAGGUAUCAAGCACACUAAAUAGUAGCUCAUAACGCCUUGCUUAACCACGCCCCCACGGGAUACAGCAGUGAUAAAAAUUAAGCCAUGAACGAAAGUUUGACUAAGUUAUAUUACUCAAGGGUUGGUAAAUCUCGUGCCAGCCACCGCGGUCAUACGAUUAACCCGAACUAAUAGACAUACGGCGUAAAGCGUGUUUAGGGUAUAUUAAAUAAUAAAGCCAAAUCUUAGCUAAGCUGUAAAAAGCCGUAGCUAUCAGAAGACCUCUCACGAAAGUAGCUUUAGAACAUCUGAAUACACGACAGCUAAGACCCAAACUGGGAUUAGAUACCCCACUAUGCUUAGCCUUAAACCUAAAACAUUCUCUUUUUCAACAAAAUCAUUCGCCAGAGUACUACUAGCCAAAGCUUAAAACUCAAAGGACUUGGCGGUGCUUUAUAUCCUUCUAGAGGAGCCUGUUCUAU